This 470-nucleotide ribosomal RNA is filed under the name uncultured Lactobacillus sp. Its description in RNAcentral is "bacterial SSU rRNA". It matches the Rfam family "Bacterial small subunit ribosomal RNA", at positions 81 to 525 of the family's 1533-position model. The record is from RNAcentral. Lineage: Bacteria; Bacillati; Bacillota; Bacilli; Lactobacillales; Lactobacillaceae.
AUAGAUACAAGCUAGCGGCGGAUGGGUGGAGUAACGACGUGGGUAACCCUGCCCUUAAAGUACUGGGAUACCAUUUGGAAACAGAUGCUAAUACCGGAUAAAAAGACUACUUUCGCAUGAAAGAAGUUUAAAAAAGGUACGGCGUAAAGCUGUCGCUAAAGGAUGGACCUGCGAUGCAUUAGCUAGUUGGUAAGGUAACGGCUUACCAAGGCGAUGAUGCAUAGCCGAGUUGAGAGACUGAUCGGCCACAUUGGGACUGAGACACGGCCCAAACUCCUACGGGAGGCAGCAGUAGGGAAUCUUCCACAAUGGACGCAAGUCUGAUGGAGCAACGCCGCGUGAGUGAAGAAGGUUUUCGGAUCGUAAAGCUCUGUUGUUGGUGAAGAAGGAUAGAGGUAGUAACUGGCCUUUAUUUGACGGUAAUCAACCAGAAAGUCACGGCUAACUACGUGCCAGCAGCCGCGGUAAAU